GGGGGUGAUCCGGUUUCGACGGGAUACGCCGAGGUCAGAUUGCGCGCCGUGGAUGCUCGUUGGCCACGCUAAAAAACGGGUACGAAAAGUAAUUGCGAACAACGAUUACGCUCUGGCCGCCUAAGUAAAGGCCGCCAUGUCGAAGCGCCGAUGUCUGCUGAGCGCCGAGGCAUAAUUUAGCAGGCCUCGCUGCGGGGAGUGCCGUUUGCCCGCCGCAGGGAGCCGAACCAAACGGAUGGAGGCGGAUAAGCCCGUGCGUCGGCGUACCGUCUCCGAGACCAAAGGCGCAAUACGCGCGUAGAUGUUUGGUCGGAGCUGUUCCGGACAGGGGUUCGACUCCCCUCACCUCCACCA
This 354-nucleotide transfer-messenger RNA is filed under the name bovine gut metagenome. It matches the Rfam family "transfer-messenger RNA". From Rfam's summary of the family: Bacterial tmRNA, also known as 10Sa RNA or SsrA, is named for its dual tRNA and mRNA-like properties. The record is from RNAcentral.